Molecule: long non-coding RNA, 739 nt
Organism: Fopius arisanus
Lineage: Eukaryota; Metazoa; Arthropoda; Insecta; Hymenoptera; Braconidae
Exons: 3
Source: RefSeq, a predicted model, not a curated record
UCCUAUACAUGAUUGUUUCUUCAAUUAUUAAUUAACAAUACACCUCUCAGGGAUCAGGUCACAGAUGCUAGUAAAUUUUGCCAGCAAAUUUCAAAUUUUGAAAGAUCAUCACGAAUUCUUGGCUAGAACUAUUGUCAAAACAUGUCAAAAUGAAUCUUGACAGACAAUUUUGACAGAUCAUAUGUUCUAUGAGUCGUCCAUUAUUCAUUAUGAGAUACUACCGCAUUUGACAUUUUUGGUCCAGAUUUUGCAUUAUCCUCUGACAUAUAACAUAUGAAAAAUUAUCACAUGUGGUGUUUGACAGAAUCUGUUAAAUUUUAAAUGAGAUCUUGGAGAUAGGAGAGAGGAGGGUAGACUGGACCCCCCUACGCAGAAACUCAUUCCUCAACAAUUUUUACUAAAAUCACUAGUCCUUACCCUCGAAAGCUCCAUCUAAAUUUGUGCAACGCCUCGACAAAACGAAAAUUUUGAGGAGAAGGUGGGUAAAAUGGACUUCCCUCUCUCUCACGAUUUUUCCUCCAAUGGUCCCAAAUUGACUCGUCGAGACUAUUAAAAACAAUUAAUUUCAGCUUCCUGCAAAUAGUGUAUAACGUUAAUUAAAAAUCAAAUCCUUAUCAUUGUUCAAGUAUUUGUCAAUAGAAUUUAGUAUACAGAAUUAAAACUCCGUGUUAAUUAAAUAUAAAAUGUAAACACUCAUCAAAACAUCAAUUACUCCACGGUGCAUCUUUAUAGAAAAUGU